ACCAGACUCCUACGGGAGGCAGCAGUGGGGGAUAUUGCACAAUGGGGGAAACCCUGAUGCAGCAACGCCGCGUGAGUGAAGAAGUAUUUCGGUAUGUAAAGCUCUAUCAGCAGGGAAGAGAAUGACGGUACCUGACUAAGAAGCCCCGGCUAACUACGUGCCAGCAGCCGCGGUAAUACGUAGGGGGCGAGCGUUAUCCGGAUUUACUGGGUGUAAAGGGAGCGUAGACGGCUGGUCAAGUCUGAAGUGAAAGCCCGGGGCUUAACCCCGGAACGGCUUUGGAAACUGAGCAGCUAGAGUGCUGGAGAGGUAAGCGGAAUUCCUAGUGUAGCGGUGAAAUGCGUAGAUAUUAGGAGGAACACCAGUGGCGAAGGCGGCUUACUGGACAGAAACUGACGUUGAGGCACGAAAGUGUGGGGAGCAAACAGGAUUAGAUACCCGCGUAG
Molecule: ribosomal RNA, 446 nt
Filed under: uncultured bacterium
Lineage: Bacteria
Description: bacterial SSU rRNA
Rfam family: Bacterial small subunit ribosomal RNA
Source: RNAcentral